GGAUCUCAAAGUAUUCUAUCUUUUAUCUUCUAUCCAUCUGCACAAGUCUCAAAUAUUUCAUCCUUUGUCAUCCACCAUCUACAUAGAUCUCAAAAUACUCCAUCUCUAUCAGUCAUCUGCCAGCAUAGGCCUUAAAAGUAAUUUAUCCUUUAUCAUAGAUCUAUUUGUACAAAUCUCAAAGCACUCCAUCUCUAUCAUUCAUUUGCCUGCAUAGAUCUCAAAGCAUCUCAUCAUUUAUCAUCUAUCCACCUGCACAGAUCUUACAGCACUCCAUCAUUUAUCAUCCAUCUAUUUGCACAAGUAUUAAAGAGCUCCAUCUCUAUUAUCCAUUC
Molecule: long non-coding RNA, 332 nt
Filed under: Elaeis guineensis (African oil palm)
Lineage: Eukaryota; Viridiplantae; Streptophyta; Magnoliopsida; Arecales; Arecaceae
Description: long non-coding RNA (EGUI_LNC024784)
Source: RNAcentral